CGACAGUGAUAUUGGAAACAGCAUGGGUUCUAUUUUUCCUUGCACGAUGUCGCGGCUGAAAGAACACUAAUUAACGUGUUAAGGUUAUAAAUUCCAUUCCUAACGAAGGUCAAGAAACCACCGAUGUUAAGUUACACGAAUCCACGUUAAUUUGACUAACGAUAUUAUUUUUCCAAUAAAUAAACGCAUAACAUAUUUCGUUCAUAUUGUUCUUCUAUUUUACGGGAAAAACGGAGGGGUGUGUUGGAUUUGGGGAUGGAAGUGAAGGGGGGAGGUAAAGUACUAAGGGGGAAAUACAAAGAAACGAUAAAAUCAUAAAAUUAAUCCUCCAAUAAAAACACAACGUAAGUUUUUUUCCGUUACUUACGUUACAGUAAUCGUGUAGACAGAGUUACGUGUGCGUACGUGACUUAUGUCUCGGGAUACUACUGCAAAGUACUUAUGCAAAGAAAAGAAAGGAAAAAAAAAAAGGAAAAAGAAAAAAAGAAUGGAUUUUUCUUUAAUGGAGCAACGUUAUGCGAUGCGUCCAGACAAUUAAUCACUCUAUUACCUUAAUCAUAGUCGUAACAACAGAUGACACCGAUCUACGGGAAUUGAAUUCCUCCUUAGCUCGUGGAAUUUCUAUUCCACCGUUAAAUCCGAGAGAGAUUUUAUUACACUUGUUUCUCUUUUUGCUUAGACUCCGAUCAGAUUUAUUCGAUCGAUUACUCUCUAUUACAAUAAUUGCCGCCUCGUGUUCCUAGUUGUAUUGAACGUGACUAUGCGAACGGUGCGAGACAAGUCUCGUGGGACACCAGACGCGUAUUAUCAAGUUUUUGCUGAUCUUAGCAUGACGAGUCUAACUAUCACGCGCAUCAUUGUCUACCCUAUGAUUAUAGACGACAAUUUUCAGAAAAUGAGGGAAGACAAUUGAUAUUUUCUUCGUUUGCUUCCGUUUCUGAUCCUGUCAGAGAUCGUUCAUCGUAAUUUAAACAAACCUGACGUCAUUGCGUUCAUCGAUAGAUCCGGAUUCCAUCGCGGAAGGAUCAUCUAAUCGGCAAUUAUUAAAGACGACCACCACUGAAAAAGAAAAAUAAUAAAAUCGACAUUUAAAAUGUGCAUUAAAAAUUUGUCAAAGAAAAAACAACGACGAGAAAAAAAUCUGAUAAUAAUCGUCAUUCGAUGUCGUUUUAUAUGGAAAAAUCUUUCGAUCGUGCUGACGCAAUUAAAGGAUGACGAUAAAUUUCGUGAAAUAGAACGAUAAUACCGGUAUCCGAUCAUAAAUAUUAAAUCUUUGACUGUUAUGCGUCAUAUAUGCGUUUGGUAAACGUUGCCAAUGUGGACUAUCGACGCAUAUACGUGUUUUUUAAUAUGAAUGUAAAAUAAAAUGUAAUGUUAAAAACUUUAA
This 1387-nucleotide long non-coding RNA is filed under the name Polistes fuscatus (common paper wasp). RNAcentral describes it as "uncharacterized LOC122520949". The record is from RNAcentral. Lineage: Eukaryota; Metazoa; Arthropoda; Insecta; Hymenoptera; Vespidae.